Molecule: long non-coding RNA, 1183 nt
Organism: Erinaceus europaeus (western European hedgehog)
Lineage: Eukaryota; Metazoa; Chordata; Mammalia; Eulipotyphla; Erinaceidae
Exons: 2
Source: RefSeq, a predicted model, not a curated record
AUUUAGCUAUGUUUUGAAAGUUUAAGUGUAGUCCUGAGGCCAAGACAGCACAGUGGAGAGAGUUGUGCAUCUGAGGUACCUCAUAAAUGCCAGGAGAAAUGCCUUAGGAGUCUACAAGGAAACCCCCUUGUAAUAAGGGAAUUGGGUCAUGAAACUAGCAAGGCUGUAGAUCCAGACCUGCAGCUGGAUAAACUAUGACCUGAGGAUUUGAAGCAUCUUAUGAAAUUCAAGGAGAUCCAGAAAGACAGAGGAAGGAAGGGUCCAUCUUGAGCAGGUUGUUCCUCAUCUCUGUCAAAUGGCUGGUUUUCUGUAGCUUCUGGCAAUUUUGAAAAACUGAGCUACAAAUGUGUCUGUUGUCGGCAGGACCGCCAUUUGGACUUGGUGCAUGGGCUCUGCUGCAGCUUUUCUCUGUAACAGUCUAAGUGAUGUGGAGUUCAGUCUAGCAAGGGCCCCUUCCUGUCAUAAAUAAGAUUACUUUCAUUUCACUUGUGGAGUGUGCUAUUCCUCAGAGUAAUGAAUUUCCUCUGUGCCUUUGAGCACAUAAACAUGGUUUUCAUUAGCUUUCGCUCUUAAAGAAAAAAAAAAAGCAAGCGACAGGGAAGGAGAGAAUCUGAGCAAAAUUAAUAGAGGCCAAUUAACUCCAUAAAUGCAGAUGGAUUUUUUUUUAUACUCUGGGUGGAAUAUACUUGUGACAUUAAUAGAAAGGCACUAGUUCAUCUCUCCUCUGAAGUUAUUAAAAAAAAAAUUGGGUCAAAGAAGGACUACCAAUUUUAUCCCAUGUGAACCAAAGGGAGAGAGAAUAUUCUUUUCCAAGUCUUGUUUUAAAGAUGAUAUCAAAUAGUCAUCAGAGUGCUCCCCCCGCCAGACAAAUAGCCGUGGGUUCUCCUGGAACAGCUACAUGAAAAGUCUCAGUGCAGCCGUGCAGCCUCAACCCCAUCUCCCAUUCCUUUGCUGUGUGUGUGUGUGUGGGGGGGUGUGAUUUAUGCUAAUAAGAUAUCCUAGCCUUUCUCAAUUUCAAAUUAACCCCCUGAGACCUAUAAGUCAUGCAGUUCAUAGUACUAAAUAUGCAGUUGUUCAAUUUUGUGGUUUGGAAUCUCUUGUCAAGGGGUGACUCAUUAUAAAAAUGACUGGAUUUUUCUCGUUGUUGACAAUGCAUACUUAAACCUGAAAGCUACUUAGGAUA